RNAcentral lists this ribosomal RNA (253 nucleotides) under uncultured bacterium. RNAcentral describes it as "partial 16S ribosomal RNA". It matches the Rfam family "Bacterial small subunit ribosomal RNA", at positions 524 to 776 of the family's 1533-position model. The record is from RNAcentral.
UACGUAGGGUGCGAGCGUUGUUCGGAUUUACUGGGCGUAAAGGGCGCGUAGGCGGUGCGGUAAGUCUGUAGUGAAAUCUCUGGGCUCAACUCAGAGUCUGCUGCAGAAACUGCCGUGCUUGAGUGUGGGAGAGGUGAGUGGAAUUCCCGGUGUAGCGGUGAAAUGCGUAGAGAUCGGCAGGAACACCCAGGGGGAAACCAGUCGACUGGGCAGCACCUGACGCUGAGGUGCGAGAGCGUGGGGAGCGAACAGG